AUCCAGCUGACGAAUCCCAAAUAGGGCGAACGUGCGUCCUGAAU
Non-coding RNA from Schistosoma mansoni, 44 nucleotides. Lineage: Eukaryota; Metazoa; Platyhelminthes; Trematoda; Strigeidida; Schistosomatidae. The record is from Rfam.